Molecule: long non-coding RNA, 519 nt
Organism: Bos taurus (domestic cattle)
Lineage: Eukaryota; Metazoa; Chordata; Mammalia; Artiodactyla; Bovidae
Source: Ensembl
AGAGCACCAGGCUGGGCUUCCUGUGUUAUACGGCAACUUCUCAUUUGCUAUCUGUUUUACAUAUGAUACUGCUGACGCUACUGGUUGCACACCACUUCUUGAGUAGCAAUGUGGAGAUGUGGGUUCAAUCCCUGGGUCAGGAAGAUCCCCUAAAGGAGGAAAUGGCCACCCACUCCAGUAUUCUUGCCUGAAAAUCCCAUGGACAGAGGAGCCUGGUGGGCUACAGUCCAUGAGGUCGCAAAAGAGUCAGACAUGACUGAGUGACUAAAAAACGAUAGAAAACCAAGAGCAAUAGCUACAGUACUGUACCCGGAGGAAACAGCAGUGAACCAGCAGAACCACAGUUUCUGCCUUCAUGAAGCUUACAACUCAGCAGGGAGACUGACGUCAAAGAAACACAGGCAGAGGCCAUUGUUUGUGGAUUCUGUGUUUGCUGCUAAGUCACUUCAGUUGUGUCCGACUUUGUGCGACCCCAUAGACAGCAGCCCACCAGGCUCCCCCGUCCCUGGGAUUCUCCAG